This 537-nucleotide ribosomal RNA is filed under the name uncultured bacterium. RNAcentral describes it as "bacterial SSU rRNA". It matches the Rfam family "Bacterial small subunit ribosomal RNA", at positions 777 to 1311 of the family's 1533-position model. The record is from RNAcentral.
AAUAAUACCCUGGUAGUCCACGCCGUAAACGGUGAGUGCUAAGUGUUAGAGGGUUUCCGCCCCUUUAGUGCUGCAGCUAACGCAUUAAGCACUCCGCCUGGGGAGUACGGUCGCAAGACUGAAACUCAAAGGAAUUGACGGGGGCCCGCACAAGCGGUGGAGCAUGUGGUUUAAUUCGAAGCAACGCGAAGAACCUUACCAGGUCUUGACAUCCUCUGACAACUUUAGAGAUAGAGCGUUCCCCCUUCGGGGGACAGAGUGACAGGUGGUGCAUGGUUGUCGUCAGCUCGUGUCGUGAGAUGUUGGGUUAAGUCCCGCAACGAGCGCAACCCUUGAUCUUAGUUGCCAGCAUUUAGUUGGGCACUCUAAGGUGACUGCCGGUGACAAACCGGAGGAAGGUGGGGAUGACGUCAAAUCAUCAUGCCCCUUAUGACCUGGGCUACACACGUGCUACAAUGGAUGGUACAAGGGGCUGCAAGACCGCGAGGUCAAGCCAAUCCCAUAAAACCAUUCUCAGUUCGGAUUGUAGGCUGCAAC